This 117-nucleotide small nucleolar RNA is filed under the name Fukomys damarensis (Damara mole-rat). RNAcentral's name for it is "Small nucleolar RNA SNORA25 (ENSFDAG00000004783.1)". The record is from RNAcentral. Lineage: Eukaryota; Metazoa; Chordata; Mammalia; Rodentia; Bathyergidae.
AGGUUCUUUCAGAAAGAGCUUACUGGGCUGUGAACCCAGGAGUUCUUAAUUUUUUCAGAUUCUACGCAGGAAGGCCUGCUCUACUGAAUAGUGCUGGUCUCCUGCAGAGAUAUAAGA